CAGCAGCCGCGGGAAAACGUAGGGUGCAAGCGUUAAUCGGAAUUACUGGGCGUAAAGCGUGCGCAGGCGGUUAUAUAAGUCAGAUGUGAAAUCCCCGGGCUCAACCUGGGAACUGCAUCUGAGACUGUAUGGCUAGAGUGUGUCAGAGGGGGGUAGAACUCCACGUGUUGCAGUGAAAUGCGUAGAUAUGUGGAGGAAUACCGAUGGCGAAGGCAGCCCCCUGGGAUAACACUGACGCUCAUGCACGAAAGCGUGGGGAGCAAACAGGAUUAGAUACCCGCGUAGUCCCUGUCUCUUAUAA
Molecule: ribosomal RNA, 301 nt
Filed under: uncultured bacterium
Lineage: Bacteria
Description: partial 16S ribosomal RNA
Rfam family: Bacterial small subunit ribosomal RNA
Source: RNAcentral